UGUGUGUGUGUGUGUGCGCCUGAUGAGGAGACGAGCUGAGCUGACGUCAGCGGCGGCGGCAGGUACCGGCGCGGGGGAGGGCGCAGAAGCAGCAGGAGGAGGAGGAGUUGGACUGUCCGUCGCGUCGCGCUGUUUGCGCUCCCGUACGAGGAAGGAAGUGAGGUCCGGGAGAGAGAUCGAUUAUUAUACACGGGCCUUUAACGACCUCUAAUUGGCCGAGCGGCGGAACAGACGAUGACGGGGGGAAAAUCGGCGGCCGUCGAGGUAAGCUCCUCUGCUAAGUAAGGCGAGGCAGAGUUGGUGAACGAGAAGAGACACAAAAAACGCAAAACAAAAGAACUAAACUAAGCCACCGGGCGGCAGCUGCUUGCGUGCGUGCGUGCGGCCUACGCUGGCUCCGGCGGAGGAGGAUCGCGGUACCUGGCAGUAGUGGUGGUCGUCGUCGUCGUCGGCGGCAGCGGAGUUCCCCUGGUACGGCGGGUCGGCGCGACGACCCUCCUCAAGGAGGUGUCCUUCUGGUAGGCCCAGGACGAGCACCUCUGGCUGCUGAGGUGGGCCGUCCAGCAGUGGCGGGACGAGGCGGUGACGUACAUGGUUCAAUAGGGACGACUUUUGCCGGUGGUCCGCACCCGCAUAGAGGUCCUGUACGUCUCGUUGUAGCUGGAACAAGACUGUCUCCAGAAGUACGUGCCGCCAGAGAGGCCCUAGCUGGACGAGCCGUCCUAGUACUUGGUGCUCCAGACGUUCCUGUAGGGGCAGUAGUACUACAGCAGCGUGUUAAGCUACCCGUGCCAGGAGUCAACGGACAGUUUACCACGACGACUGAAGAACCGGUUCGGCUAUGCAUUCUUGCUCGAAUUCUUGGAAACCCGCGUACACACCUCUGCGAGAGUGUCGAGGUCACCGUCACCAUCACCUUCACGGUAAGUCUGCGUCUUCACAUGGUUUAGUUUCUCGCGACUGCUAAGGUUAUUAUUGUCGUUAUUGGCGUUGCUGCUACGGUCGUACCCCGAGUUACGUUCCCUACCGUCGCUAUUACCAUCACCGUGAGUCUCGAGUACCUGUUUCGCACGGCAACUCUAGCUGUCAGGUGUCCUGUACAGAGGCCUAGUCAGUCAACUAGGAGGACUAUCGUGAACGCGCGUACACUCGGUGGAGUUCAGUCUCUAUACGUCGUUAUCUAAUUCUCCAUGUCUAUUGUUUUUUACGGUCUUUGGUUUUCUUUGAUUACCACUACUCAAGUUUCCCUUCCUCGACCUCUAUCCACGGGGACCAUUAAACUUGUGUCUACUAGUUAGGAGGGGCUUGCUCUCAAGCCAGUUUGGUUGUCUAUUACCUGCCACACUCAUAGACGGUGUCUUGUUGAGGUUGCUAUGUCAAUACCUUUUAAGCCUACUCGGUUAACAAGCUCGACGACUGGAUUAGCCAAGCUACCGGUUUUUGUACCUGCGGGUUGUCCGUCGAUCUCGUUAUCUACGAGGAUUGACGAGGAGUGUUCACGGCCUUCCCUUUCUGCGGCUGGCACUCUUGCGGUACGGUAUAGAACUCGACUCGGAUUUCUCCAGCUCUAGCUGGUGCCUCCCACGCCUACGCUAGGUCCUCCUUGUCUCCUUGCAGCACUCUGCUAGUCUGGAGAGCCGUAAGUGCUCCAUGUUAUGCACGAGCAAGAGGUUAGUUCCGCCCCGUCCCAAGCAGCCCUCGACAAGCGGGUGCACUGACGGUUCGCAAGUAUUGCAGAACCAAGAUACCCUACCCACGAAGUGGAUCGCCAGGAAGAUCCUGUAUACGAAAGAACCGUCGAUACUCCUACUAGGAGUCCAAGGCCUGGGUCAGACUUAUCAACGACGGUAGUAGAAAGUCGAACCAAAAGAGAUCCUUGCGCAACUUCAACUCCAACUGUACUCGCAACCGGUAAACUAGAUGUUCUGUAAAACGUUUCCAAAAAUCUGAUUCAAGUACUAUUAAUUCAAGUAGAUUAGUUUAAUAAAUUACUUGAGGGUGAGUCUAAUCUGUAGGGAGAUCAGUAGACUCACUAUGUACUAGGCUCAGUUGAUCCGGCACAGGCUAGUAGUACACUCUGCCUGAUCAGUAGUAGCCACUUGUAGAGGUACAACUAGCAUAGAAGGUAUGCUGAGUACAAGCUUGAAAGCCAGGGAACACAAGGCUCAGGUACAGACAUGUACGAUCCGAGCAGUUCAAUUGUAUUCACAAAACGUACA
RNAcentral lists this ribosomal RNA (2219 nucleotides) under Triticum aestivum (bread wheat). RNAcentral's name for it is "partial small subunit ribosomal RNA". Lineage: Eukaryota; Viridiplantae; Streptophyta; Magnoliopsida; Poales; Poaceae. The record is from RNAcentral.